RNAcentral lists this unclassified non-coding RNA (493 nucleotides) under Hevea brasiliensis (rubber tree). The record is from RNAcentral. Lineage: Eukaryota; Viridiplantae; Streptophyta; Magnoliopsida; Malpighiales; Euphorbiaceae.
UAAUAAGGCACGCAAGGAAUUGGAUCCCAACAGAAUCCUUUCGAAUAAUAAGCUGAAAAAGCUGUUCCCAUCAUCAGAGGGCAUUUGAGAAGCAUCUUUUUUUUUUUUAUUGGUUAGUCAUUUUGUUCUAUCGUAUAAAUUCUGAAUGCUUGAUAUUGUAUCAUCCUUUUGCCAGUCUGCUGGAAUUGCUUCAGCCUAUGUUCUCAACUGUACAUUAAUUUGAAAGAAAUGGCCAUAAAAUAAGAAGGUAUACGGUUUAAGAAGGUAUACAGUUAACGGUACCAUAUCCUAUAGAAGUUUUCUGGUGAUUAAGGCUCAGUCUUGUGUUUAAAGCUGCUUUAGAGCUUAAAUGUAUAUUGGAAGCAAAUGGGAAAGAUUCUGAGUCUGGUAAAAUAUAAUCUGGUCUCCGUGAGUUCCAUGUAUUAUGAUAGAAAUAUCAGAACUGCAGAAUCAUUCUAUCCUAGUCUUAAAUAAAUUGUUUACACGUUUGUGC